Molecule: long non-coding RNA, 392 nt
Filed under: Gossypium barbadense (sea-island cotton)
Lineage: Eukaryota; Viridiplantae; Streptophyta; Magnoliopsida; Malvales; Malvaceae
Description: long non-coding RNA (GBAR_LNC007779)
Source: RNAcentral
AGGAAAAGAAGACAGAUAACGAGGAUGAACAAAAGAAGGACAAGAAGAAGAAGGAUAAGGAGAAAAAGGAAGAAGAGAAGUCAGAUAAAGAGGAUGAUGUAGAAGAUGCCAAAGAGAAGGAGAAGAAGAAGAAGAAGAAAGAUAAUAAGGAUAAGGAGAAAAAGAAAGACCAGAAGUGUGAUAAAGAGGAUGAGGAAGAAAAUGUCGAAGAGGAGGAGAAGAAGAAGAAGAAAGAUAAGAAGGAUAACGAGAAAAAGAAAGAAAAGAAGUCGGACGAAGAGGAUGAUGUAGAAGAUGCCAAAGAGGCGAAGGAGAAGAAGAAGAAAGAUAACAAGGAUAAGGAGAAAAAGAAAGAUAAGAAGUGCGAUAAAGAGGAUGACGUAGAAGAUGCC